This is a long non-coding RNA of Syngnathoides biaculeatus (alligator pipefish), 300 nucleotides long. RefSeq lists it as uncharacterized. Lineage: Eukaryota; Metazoa; Chordata; Actinopteri; Syngnathiformes; Syngnathidae. The record is from RefSeq and is a predicted model, not a curated record. The transcript is spliced from 3 exons.
GGCGAGCUUGAAAUAGAUGGGUCUGGUUGAGGCUGCGUUCUAUUUGGCUGCUUCAGGCUCCUUGCUCACGACCUCUUGAGCCCCACAGGAAGCCAUGGAGCGGAGGCGAGGGAAGCGAAGGAGCUAAUCGCAAACACAAGCAAAAGAUGGAUUACACCCCCGAUUGGUCGCCAUCCAGUCAGAGCAUAGAGGAAAAAGAUGUUUGAGAAGACUGGAUUUUUCAAGAAAAUGGGUGCACGUUCGGGGAGCCUUGCCCGGAAGCUUCCUUCAGCAGCCCCAAAGUAAACCCUGCUUUAAAAG